UAUCCCUGCAUGCGUCCGUCCCGCGGUCUCACGUGCCGGCGCGCGGCCCGCCUCCCGCGCUCUCCUAUUGGCCGCCGGCGCUGACAAUCACGCCUUACGCCAGCGCCGCCGUUUCCCUCCGCCGGAACGAGCCAAGGCCGCUCCGGGCCCCAGCGCGGCCUCGGCUCCCGCCGCCGGUGGCGGCAGCUCCGCUGACAGGCAGCGCGGCCCGCGCUGUGGGAGCGCCUGAGCGGCCUUCGGACUGGGGGGGGGAUUGGAAGCCGUGCGCUGAGGGCGGACGGGCAGCUAACCAGCCUGAUGUCAUUUCCCUCUGCCUUUGUUUAAUUAUUUUAAACUCAAUUGCACAGUGAGGGGAAAAAAAAAGAUAACAAAAAAAAAACCAAAACAGCACAAAAAACUCCAGGCUUCCAGAUGCCAUCACACUAAUUUCGCUUAAUUGCCUUCCCGAUGCAAACACACCCGGGCUCCCUGCGCGGCGCCGCCCGGCCCGGCCCCCUCCCGCACGCCGGGGUAUUUCUAAAGAAACCAGCAAUAUUUGAGGAUUCUAAAGAUACAGCUUUUUAUGUCAACAGUUUCCUUUGAGCUGCCAGCUUGCCUGUGUGGUUUGAGACAACAGAGCAAAGCAAAAACAGCAUUAAAACUACAGUGAAAGCCCCAUCAAAAAGCAUUGAGGUAAUUAAUAUUCCUGCUUUCCUCUGCAUGGAAUGGAGUUCAGUGGUUUCCAGAAGACUUGCAUGUAAAGAGAUAAUUGAAGACUCCCCUUAUGCAUAUCCACAACAGAGCUGAAUUAAGGAAUUUUAAUCCUGGGAUGGCACAAUUUGUAGCAACAGAAACAUAUUUACUUGCAAGCUGAUCCCAUCUGUGCUCCUGCAUUGUAAAGCUUCCCCCUGCCGUGGCACUGUAUGUCUGAUUUAGUUUGGUACAACUGCUCGGAAGCUCCAGCCUUCAGGAGUGCCAGGAUUCCACACUGUGGAUCAGACGGGCAAGAUACUGUCACUUGGGCAUGGCGUUAAUAAAAAGAGGGUGUGUGGUUUUUCUUGUGUAAGAACAUGCAGUGACACUAUAAUCAUUUGAUGCUUGAUAGUUCAGUGACAUGGAAGACUGCUGAACUUUUAACUUAAUUGGGUCUUCUCAUACUUGCACUGUUUCCUGCUCAUGAACCAGGAUAUACGGGUACUAUAACUCAAAUACAGACUAAGCUGUCCCCGCUGCAGCCUCAUACCUUGCAAAUUAAGUAGGAUCAGGGCUCAAAAGAGAUAAUGAAGGAGACCUAUGUCCUGGAGGAAAUUACCAUGAAUUACAAAAUGAUGGUUUCUCUCUUAAUAAAAAAUGAGCAAAUGCUCCAGUGUGACACUAGGGAACUCUUCAGUUUAUAAAGGUACUGUCUUUCAGGAAAUACAUAUGUUAAUCCAGCUGUCAUGCAUAAAUUCUCAUUUAAGGCCUGAUCUAAUUCCCAUUGAAGUAGAGAUGGACUCAAUCUACUUAAAUUUCUCCAUGCAGUUUCACGGCUUUCCACUAUCUUCAUCUGUUGUAUCACAUUACUGUGUGUGGGUAGAGUUGCCACAUUCCACCCAUGACACAACUGUUUCAGUGGCAAGUGAAGUGAUAUGUGCAUAUGGUAUAUGCAGUCUUUACACAAACCGUAUGCUUUCAGACAGCUAUCUAUGCAACUGGGAGAAGUUAUGGGGGCUUUUUGAAUAUAAAGUCCAUUUGCUACAUUAUUAGAAGUUUGUUUGUCAUUCCCAUGACCUUACUUUUUGAUAUUUGAGAGAUGGAAAGAGUGAUUUAUUGUGUACUUUUUGUAAAUGAGUAACUCAGUUUAAUAACUUUGAAUAACCAUAAAAUGGUUGUGUGAAGAUUUU
Molecule: long non-coding RNA, 1862 nt
Organism: Pezoporus occidentalis (night parrot)
Lineage: Eukaryota; Metazoa; Chordata; Aves; Psittaciformes; Psittacidae
Exons: 4
Source: RefSeq, a predicted model, not a curated record